UUAAAUAAUUUAUGCUCUAGAAAUUUAAUGAACGAACUUUGUUAACCCAGAAACUUAUAACUCUCUGGUGUCGUGCUGCGGUAAGUUUGAGCAGAUGUAAUCCUUGGACCCAUUGUUACGUUCCGAAUUUUCUCGAGAAUCGAAAGUCGAUUUUGGAUCAGUUUUGUGAAUCAAGCAUCUCGGGAGGUUAAUUUCAUAGUUUUCCGGAAGAUAGCAUGGAUAAGGUUUCAGAAUUUUUGAGCGAAAGAAGUUGGUGGAAGCUUUAGCAAGAAUGGCAAGGAGAAAGUGGGGGAGGCUUGAUUUGAUUUUUCAAUUUGUGCAUUUCAUUUUCAAAUUAUGUUGUGUUAUUGUUUAAAUUGAAUCAUUUAUAUAAGUUUAUGUUGUUAUCACUACAGUAAAA
Gossypium arboreum is the source of this 400-nucleotide long non-coding RNA. RefSeq lists it as uncharacterized. The record is from RefSeq and is a predicted model, not a curated record. NCBI's taxonomy places the organism in Eukaryota, Viridiplantae, Streptophyta, Magnoliopsida, Malvales, Malvaceae. The transcript is spliced from 2 exons.